Molecule: ribosomal RNA, 504 nt
Filed under: bacterium enrichment culture clone ALO1_GLFRUDD03GR30E
Lineage: Bacteria
Description: bacterial SSU rRNA
Rfam family: Bacterial small subunit ribosomal RNA
Source: RNAcentral
GAGUUUGAUCAUGGCUCAGAUUGAACGCUGGCGGCAUGCCUUACACAUGCAAGUCGAACGGCAGCACGGGAGCUUGCUCCUGGUGGCGAGUGGCGAACGGGUGAGUAAUGCAUCGGAACGUAUCCUGGAGUGGGGGAUAACGUAGCGAAAGUUACGCUAAUACCGCAUAUUCUGUGAGCAGGAAAGCGGGGGACCUUCGGGCCUUGCGCUAUCAGAUGAGCCUAGGUCGGAUUAGCUAGUUGGUGGGGUAAUGGCUCACCAAGGCGACGAUCCGUAACUGGUCUGAGAGGAUGAUCAGUCACACUGGAACUGAGACACGGUCCAGACUCCUACGGGAGGCAGCAGUGGGGAAUAUUGGACAAUGGGCGAAAGCCUGAUCCAGCCAUGCCGCGUGUGUGAAGAAGGUCUUCGGAUUGUAAAGCACUUUAAGUUGGGAGGAAGGGCAGUAAGUUAAUACCUUGCUGUUUUGACGUUACCGACAGAAUAAGCACCGGCUAACUCUGU